CAAGUGUAAAUCAAUUUAAUAAUUCAAAAAUGGAUUUGAGUGCUAUCAAUAAAAUCAACAACUUACCGAACUUUUUACCAACUAAAAAGUUUGAAGAACUGCAAUUGGGUAGAAUUUAU
This is a long non-coding RNA of Cotesia glomerata, 119 nucleotides long. RefSeq lists it as uncharacterized. The record is from RefSeq and is a predicted model, not a curated record. Lineage: Eukaryota; Metazoa; Arthropoda; Insecta; Hymenoptera; Braconidae. The transcript is spliced from 3 exons.